This 107-nucleotide small nuclear RNA is filed under the name Cervus hanglu yarkandensis (Yarkand deer). Lineage: Eukaryota; Metazoa; Chordata; Mammalia; Artiodactyla; Cervidae. The record is from RNAcentral.
GUGCUCGCUUUGGCAGCACAUAUACUAAAAUUAGAACGAUACAGAGAAGAUUAGCAUGGCCCCUGUGCAAGGAUGACAUGCACAUUUGUGAUGCAUUCCAUAUUUUU